This is a long non-coding RNA of Suricata suricatta (meerkat), 720 nucleotides long. RefSeq lists it as uncharacterized. The record is from RefSeq and is a predicted model, not a curated record. Lineage: Eukaryota; Metazoa; Chordata; Mammalia; Carnivora; Herpestidae. The transcript is spliced from 2 exons.
CCUGCAGCCGGCAGAAACGUCUGCUGAGGAAGACACUGCAAAGUGUCAGCAAGGGCGUCUGGGAAUUAAUUUUACCCCAGAGUAGCUGUGCAGGUCUGUUGAGCCCCCACCUCUUCAGCUAUGAACACCAGAUAACACUAGAAUCAGCCUGAUGCCUCGAACACCUCAUAUGAAGGGGUUUUCAAAAUCUAGCCACAAACAUAUGACCAGAUUUGAAAAGAUUUUGAGAUGAGGAAGGACUCUAUUCUGACAAAGCCUCACACAGGAGAGAGAAACAAAGUGGCCCCUUCAACUGCAACUCUGGGCCAUACUUUUGGCCUAAAUGGACACUCAGCAUUUAAUAGCCCUCAGAGAUGGCACUGAAAUGGGCCCUCCACCUGUUCCCAGAGCCUUCUUGGAUUCUACUAUCAGCCAUUCUGCAGAGAAAAGGUUUUAUAAGUACCCUACCCUCAAUAUAAAAGUUAAGUCUUGUAGCUGAGAAGUCACAGAUUUAACCCCCACUUAGCUUUCCACCCUCCUCCUCCUCAAGGCCACCCCUACACAGCCUCACUUGUCUCAUUUGUGUAUAUGUCAAUCUCCCCACUGGAUUCCAACCUCAUUUGAAAACAAGGACUAUAUGUCUCUUUCAUCUUGAAGAGGCUUCCAGCACUGUCUAUUCAAUAAUUUGCACACAAUAAACCUAAAUACACAUUUUAAAAUAAAUUGAUUAAUACAUUUAAA